GCAUAUCAAUAAGCGGAGGAAAAGAAACCAACAGGGAUUGCCCCAGUAACGGCGAGUGAAGCGGCAACAGCUCAAAUUUGAAAUCUGGCCCUCGGGUCCGAGUUGUAAUUUGUAGAGGAUGCUUUUGGCGAGGUGCCUUCCGAGUUCCCUGGAACGGGACGCCAUAGAGGGUGAGAGCCCCGUCUGGUCGGACACCGAGCCUCUGUAAAGCUCCUUCAACGAGUCGAGUAGUUUGGGAAUGCUGCUCAAAAUGGGAGGUAUAUGUCUUCUAAAGCUAAAUAUUGGCCAGAGACCGAUAGCGCACAAGUAGAGUGAUCGAAAGAUGAAAAGCACUUUGAAAAGAGGGUUAAAAAGUACGUGAAAUUGUUGAAAGGGAAGCGCCUAUGACCAGACUUGCGCCCGGUGAAUCAUCCAGCGUUCUCGCUGGUGCACUUUGCCGGGCACAGGCCAGCAUCAGUUUGGCGCGGGGGAAAAAGGCUUCGGGAAUGUGGCUCCCUCGGGAGUGUUAUAGCCCGCUGCGUAAUACCCUGCGCCGGACUGAGGUACGCGCAUCGCAAGGAUGCUGGCGUAAUGGUCAUCAGCGACCCGUCUUGAAACACGGACCAAGGAGUCGUCUUCGUAUGCGAGUGUUCGGGUGUCAAACCCCUACGCGUAAUGAAAGUGAACGUAGGUGAGAGCUUCGGCGCAUCAUCGACCGAUCCUGAUGUUCUCGGAUGGAUUUGAGUAAGAGCAUACGGGGCCGGACCCGAAAGAAGGUGAACUAUGCCUGUAUAGGGUGAAGCCAGAGGAAACUCUGGUGGAGGCUCGCAGCGGUUCUGACGUGCGAAUCGAUCGUCAAAUAUGGGCAUGGGGGCGAAAGACUAAUCGAACCUUCUAGUAGCUGGUUUCCGCCGAA
This 895-nucleotide ribosomal RNA is filed under the name Beauveria bassiana. RNAcentral's name for it is "LSU rRNA". It matches the Rfam family "Eukaryotic large subunit ribosomal RNA", at positions 38 to 965 of the family's 3401-position model. Lineage: Eukaryota; Fungi; Ascomycota; Sordariomycetes; Hypocreales; Cordycipitaceae. The record is from RNAcentral.